This 384-nucleotide long non-coding RNA is filed under the name Helianthus annuus (common sunflower). RNAcentral's name for it is "sRNA HanXRQr2_Chr12g0539121". The record is from RNAcentral. Lineage: Eukaryota; Viridiplantae; Streptophyta; Magnoliopsida; Asterales; Asteraceae.
UUUCACUAUCCGCCGUCAUUAGGGUUUUACUCAACGCCUUCAAAAGUGGUCAAAUUCAUGGUAAACGGCAAAAAGUUACCGAUCCUACUAAAAAUGAAGCGACUCUAUGGGCAUGCCGGAUGAGGUGAAUGCCAAUGUCUUUGGUGGAUUUGUAGGGGGCAGAACUCACAAGGGCAAGAGAAAAGCCAUAUGGUGUAGAAAACUGUUGGUUCAUUGAAACUUAGUAAGGAAAAUAUGUAAAACUGGUUUUUUAUGUAUUAGUUUUGUCGAAGCAACUUAAAUAUUGAAACUUGCUAUUAAGUAAGUUCUUGUGUCUUGUAAUUCACCUCAUUGCAAGUGUACAUAUGAUGUUUUUAGUUUUGAGGAUUUGGGUUCCAUGGUAUA